This 61-nucleotide transfer RNA is filed under the name human gut metagenome. It matches the Rfam family "tRNA", at positions 7 to 62 of the family's 71-position model. From Rfam's summary of the family: Transfer RNA (tRNA) molecules are approximately 80 nucleotides in length. Their secondary structure includes four short double-helical elements and three loops (D, anti-codon, and T loops). Further hydrogen bonds mediate the characteristic L-shaped molecular structure. tRNAs have two regions of fundamental functional importance: the anti-codon, which is responsible for specific mRNA codon recognition, and the 3' end, to which the tRNAs corresponding amino acid is attached (by aminoacyl-tRNA synthetases). tRNAs cope with the degeneracy of the genetic code in two manners: having more than one tRNA (with a specific anti-codon) for a particular amino acid; and 'wobble' base-pairing, i.e. permitting non-standard base-pairing at the 3rd anti-codon position. The record is from RNAcentral. RNAcentral also lists the same sequence under 3 other names.
UGCGUAGCUCAGUUGGUAGAGCAACUGACUCUUAAUCAGUGGGUCCGGGGUUCGAACCCCC